This 300-nucleotide ribosomal RNA is filed under the name uncultured Desulfotomaculum sp. Its description in RNAcentral is "bacterial SSU rRNA". It matches the Rfam family "Bacterial small subunit ribosomal RNA", at positions 496 to 795 of the family's 1533-position model. Lineage: Bacteria; Bacillati; Bacillota; Clostridia; Eubacteriales; Desulfotomaculaceae. The record is from RNAcentral.
GGUGACUGAGGGCCGGAGGCGGGGUGAAUACGUAGGGGUCAAGCGUUAAUCGGAAUUACGGGGCGGAAGGCGUGGGCAGGCGGUGGUGCAAGACCGAUGUGAAAUCCCCGAGCUUAACUUGGGAAUUGCAUUGGUGACUGCACGGCUAGAGUGUGUCAGAGGGGGGUAGAAUUCCACGUGUAGCAGUGAAAUGCGUAGAGAUGUGGAGGAAUACCGAUGGCGAAGGCAGCCCCCUGGGAUAACACUGACGCUCAUGCACGAAAGCGUGGGGAGCAAACAGGAUUAGAUACCCUGGUAGUC